RNAcentral lists this ribosomal RNA (395 nucleotides) under uncultured bacterium. RNAcentral's name for it is "partial 16S ribosomal RNA". It matches the Rfam family "Bacterial small subunit ribosomal RNA", at positions 523 to 918 of the family's 1533-position model. The record is from RNAcentral.
AUACGUAGGGUGCAAGCGUUAAUCGGAAUUACUGGGCGUAAAGCGUGCGCAGGCGGUUUUGUAAGACAGUGGUGAAAUCCCCGGGCUCAACCUGGGAACUGCCAUUGUGACUGCAAGGCUGGAGUGCGGCAGAGGGGGAUGGAAUUCCGCGUGUAGCAGUGAAAUGCGUAGAUAUGCGGAGGAACACCGAGGGCGAAGGCAAUCCCCUGGGCCCGCACUGACGCUCAUGCACGAAAGCGUGGGGAGCAAACAGGAUUAGAUACCCGGGUAGUCCGCGCCCUAAACGAUGUCAACUGGUUGUUGGGGAUUUAUUUUCUCAGUAACGAAGCUAACGCGUGAAGUUGACCGCCUGGGGAGUACGGCCGCAAGGUUAAAACUCAAAGGAAUUGACGGGG